AUUGAACGCUGGCGGCAUGCCUUACACAUGCAAGUCGAACGGCAGCACGGGAGCAAUCCUGGUGGCGAGUGGCGAACGGGUGAGUAAAGUAUCGGAACGUGCCCAGUCGUGGGGGAUAACGUAGCGAAAGUUACGCUAAUACCGCAUACGAUCUAUGGAUGAAAGCGGGGGAUCGCAAGACCUCGCGCGAUUUGAGCGGCCGAUCUCAGAUGAGGUAGUUGGUGGGGUAAAGGCUCACCAAGCCGACGAUCUGUAGCUGGUCUGAGAGGACGACCAGCCACACUGGGACUGAGACACGGCCCAGACUCCUACGGGAGGCAGCAGUGGGGAAUUUUGGACAAUGGGCGAAAGCCUGAUCCAGCCAUGCCGCGUGCAGGAUGAAGGCCUUCGGGUUGUAAACUGCUUUUGUACGGAACGAAAAGGUUUGGGCUAAUAAGCUGAGCUCAUGACGGUACCGUAAGAAUAAGCACCGGCUAACUACGUGCCAGCAGCAGCCGCGG
RNAcentral lists this ribosomal RNA (500 nucleotides) under uncultured bacterium. Its description in RNAcentral is "partial 16S ribosomal RNA". It matches the Rfam family "Bacterial small subunit ribosomal RNA", at positions 30 to 523 of the family's 1533-position model. The record is from RNAcentral.